RNAcentral lists this long non-coding RNA (35257 nucleotides) under Hordeum vulgare. Its description in RNAcentral is "long non-coding RNA (HVUL_LNC005642)". Lineage: Eukaryota; Viridiplantae; Streptophyta; Magnoliopsida; Poales; Poaceae. The record is from RNAcentral.
UUUCUGAUUCUAGUGGAAGGGAAUUGACACAGUUCCUGUCCCACCUGCCAAAGCUAUCCAAACUGGAAGUAUCUUCUUGUAAAAACAUAACACAGUUGGUUGUGGGGGUGGAUUUGCAGCAACCAACAGUACCAAUAGUAUCAUCGUCAACCUCUUUAGAUGUUAUAACAAUGGAUGAUACACAAGUGAAAGAUGAGCAGCAAGAAAUAGCAGAGGUGGAGGAGGAGGCAAACACGAUGGAUGAUGAUGGGCUGUUGCUCCUCCGUGCACAUCUCUCCAACUCUCUGCAGGCGUUGCACAUCCGCACAGGUGGUGGUGUGGUAGUUCAUUCCCUCGAAGCCCUCCAAGCCCUAACUAGACUUCAGUUAGAAUAUUGCUCUUUUCGCCACCCUUUCCCGUCCUCCCUGCUACAGCUGAAACUUUCGUCCGUGAAGGGCGUGCUGACCCUUUCAAACCUCACCUCUCUAACUCGAUUAGAAAUAUAUGGUUGCGGAGAGGAUUUUAGAUGCGAGGGCCUGUUGCCUCUCCUUACUCGGGGCCAGCUCAGCGAUUUAGACGUUCAAAAAAGCCCCAAUUUCUUUGGUAGGUGGGAGUGGGAUCCCAGUGCCCCAAUUUCGAGGUCCUCCAAACUGCAGAUGCUCAACACAGAUGACAUCCACGGCUUCCUCGGUGCGCCCGCCCUCUGUAGCCUCCUCUCUUCCUCCCUCACCGACUUGUCCUUUAUGGGGGACCAUGAGACGGCGCGCUUCAUAAACGAGCAGGAGGAGGCCUUUCAAUGCCUCACAUCGCUCCAGCGACUCGAGUUUUGGUUUUGUUAUAAGCUGGAACACCUCCCUGCCGCGCUAAACAAGCUGACCAACCUCAAGAGAUUAGUAAUCUUCGGGUGUCUUGCCGUCCGGUCGCUGCCCAAGGACGGCCUCCCGAGUUCACUGCGAGAAUUAGUUGCCCAAGGAGUCAACGAGGAGCUACGAGAGCACUGUAAGCGGUUAAUUGGAACCAUCCCGAAAAUCAUAAUAUAGACCAAUGGGGUGGACACGGUCCGGUCCGGUCCGGUCCCGGUCCGACCCGUCUUUUGGACCGGCCGCCGGCGGACCGGACCGAGCAGGCUGGCUGUCCUCUUUUCAGGGACCGCACCGACGAGGCAAAAGCCCGGGCCAGACCGGCGGACCGGCCAACAACUAGUGCAAAGCCAGGUGGUGACCAUGGCAUCGGCUAGCGGAGACUCUAGGCCGUAAUCAGAAGCAGGGACAGAGGGAAAAGGUGCGGUAAGUCAUGUAGAGUUCGAUAGCGAGGUCCGGGAGGCCGGGGAAGUAGUGACGGAGACGCAAUCGACGACGAACGACGACGGCUGGAGCUGGAGAUGGAGCAUGAUGGCGACUGAUUUGUGGCGAAUCCGGUCGAUUCGUUGCGAGGGGAAGGAGAUCUCAUGCUUGCGAAGCUCCUGGACAUGGUGGUUCGUCAUAGAGAUGCCGGUGACCGCGUCCGCAAGAGCUUGUGCGCUGGACGGCCGCAGCCGUGGCACAGGUACAUGUCCCCCGCCACACCUCCUGCAGUACGCCCCCGCCAUGCUCGUGCCGUCCAGGCUGAGACCAAUCCAAAGUAACAGAUACUUCCUUGCUCGUGCCAAUUCCUUAUUUCCAUAAAUACUUCUUUUUUUUCCUGAUCACACAGAUGCCAGCUCGUUUUUCUUUUGGUGUGGUGUACCUCGUUACUGUGUAUCCUGAACAUCGUUUGUCUCCGUCGGCUGUGCAGCUGGUCUCUCCGUCUUGGAGUUGUACAUUCUUCUAGCCUUGUGGAAUUAUAUAUCCGCAUCUAUGGACAGUUGGCGUAUGUGAGAUCCUGUGGUAAUUUUUCAUGCCAAUACAUCUGGUAAGUAGAUGCAAAUUGUCUGAAAAGUAUAUAUAGUUAUCUGUCUGAUAAAAAUUGCCCCCAGUUAUCUUGAGCGCAUGAUUUUUAUUAAUAUACGAGUAUGUGAUUAACAAUUGGAGGGCUUGUCUAUCCAAAUUUGGUGUACUAACCAAUUUACAUAAGCAUAAUGGUAAUAAAUAGUUAAAUACACAAAAGUGAGCUUCUUUUCUUUCGUCUAUGCAAAAUUAACCUUGUUAGCCUGAUCUAAGGAUAGUGUAUCUAUUUGUAUCUCUCCAGAGAUAAUGCGAAAUUUUAAUUAUUCACAAAACCUGCCUUGUUUCUGUUUGGCAUAGCACAGGACUAGUUCUUUUUUCCCUCAGAUUCACCAUUUGUUUUUUGUUGCAGGUUUCCUUGUGUUUGUCAAGGAAACAAGUGAAGGGAGAAGAGGAAGUCCCAUUUCUUCAUCAAGUCGACGGACAGUCACGCAAGGUUGAACAUGAAAUUUGUACGUACAAUCUCUUCAGUCUUAAUUCAGAGGAGCACUGGAUCUGCAUGGAUUUUCCAGAGAGCAGCAGUUUCAGAGCAGUGCAAUUUUGAAAAAGGGCCAUUUGAAUGGUGAAAACAAUGUUACCAUGGAACAUUGAUAGCUUGUACAGCAGCAAUGCUCUCAGUGUUUGUUUCGGCAUUGAUUUGCGACAACUAAGCACCAUGUUGCAUCAUUGAGGAGCUAGGACAACAGUUCAUCAGGACUAUCCUGAAAAUCAUACUAGAGCACUAGACCAAUCCAAGGUAAAAAAAAAACUUCCCUGUCUGCUCAUCCAAAUACCCAACAUUACCUUGCUUUUUCAUGCUCUCGCAUAUGAAGUCAUAUUUUGGAUCUGCUUACCUCAUUACUGCAAAAUCUUAACACUGUUUUUCUAUCUACUUUACAGGUUCUCUUGCGACUUUUGAGGAGUUGUACAUUUUUUAGCCUUGUCGAGUCCUCCCUGUUUAUGCAAAGUUCACACAUGGGGAUCUUUUGUGGCAUCUUCUUACUGCACAUCAUACAUAAAUCUGGUAAGUACAUGCUCAACUCCUUCAACGAUAUUACGGAUACCUAGAUGUUUUUUUUUGAACCGAGAAAUAUCAAAAAAAAAUCAACUUGAUCCUCAGCUGAUGCCAUUCAGAAUUUCCUUCUCUUCCUUCAUGAACGAUUUUAUAAUGAAUUCAAAAUUUUAUUUGUUGUGCAGAUAUUCUUAUGCUUGUUCUGGUUGGUUUCGAGAUAUUGGUCAUCAUUCACCAAAACUUGCUGGUGUACUUGUUAAGCUGUGAGGAUCAUAAUGGGGGAAUAACUGAUAUUUUGCUGAUUUGCUAUUGAAACUAAGGUGUGCAGUUUCUUCAGUUCGAUGCUAUAUUGAUAGGAUAGGAGGUGUACCUGCAUUUGUCAUAAGCUUUGUUGCUAAAUGAAAUUUUGUUAAUUACAGGAACAUUUUACCAGAAUACCUUUCUUACCAUGUGAGUGCUUGCGUGGAGCACAUUGAGAUCUCGGGCUUUCACUAAUUGGUAUGCCUUGUCUAUUCACACUCUUACAAAAGUCUAAAAGGACUCGUGUAUUUGUCUUACGUUCCGAACUUUUUAGGCUGAACUAAGCUUCUUGGUUGCUGAAUAGACGUGGUCCGUGGACAACUUUGGAAUUGAACAAUGCAGCAGUAGCAGAUUUGUGGAAAGGUCAGUAAACCCCUGCUGAAAUUCGUGAUGGGUUUAGCUAUGGUAGAUUGAAUUCAGUGUGCAAUUGUCGAACUCUUAUUGCCUCAUGAGACCUAUGUUAGACAACUUCCUGCUUUCUUGAUAAGUUGGCAGUCUAGCUUUUGAGCACACUCAUAAUCUCUGAAUGCAUUGUCAUGCUGAAUUAAGUUACACAAGAGAGUUUUCAGCUGAUACAUAUAGUGGUAAAGGUAGAGAACACUUGUUACUAGGUGAUUGAUGAACAUUGAUUGAGCAAAAAAAGACUUGAGCUUGCUAAUUUUUAUUCCUAGAACCUCCUGAAUUUAGUAUGGUGAAGGUGAUUUUAUUCUCUUCUUCAUCCCGAGUAUUUUGUUCUGUCCCACCAUUGCCAAAAACAGCAUAUUUCGUAAGCCUUUGAUUAUUGCAAUCUGAAUUUCUAGUGCGUAUUGUUAAGUUUGAUGUUCCUCUAGUCUGAAGUCUUUGAAAUCCAGUCAUUCCAUUUGCGUAACUUUUGUUGUCUAGCCUCUUCAAGACUCGUCAUUGCAUUCCUUCAUCAGGAAACUCUGCUGGUGUACAUAUACAGAUCCCAGAAAAUAAACCAUUUCUUCCAUGUGUUCACACCAUACCUACCUAACCACCUACCUAUAAUCACAUCUCUCACUAUCCCACAGUAGUUGAUUAUUCCAUAAGCACAAAUGCACAAUCAUCAAGUUAAAAGAAGACUCAAAAGCGCUUUGUUGUCAUUGACCCUGCAAAUUUCAUCAUUAUGAAGAGCUAUAUUCGUUAAUAUCUAUGCCUCUCUCACAAAAGUCAAAAAAGUAAUAAAGAAAAAGAGUGAGGGAGGUCAUUCAAAAGAUUAAAGGUUCAUCCACAAGCAGGAAGAAAUAGUCAGCAGUCCUUCCAUAUUCAUGUGCAGAAUGCAAAAUGGCUAAUCAAACUACUAUAUACCUAUGCAAUAUUGACAGCUGGAGUAUGAGUCGCAUCCUGAGACCACCUUGCAUUGCAUAGGCAUCUCAAUCAUUUCUUUGGCGUGAGUCCAUCCCUCCCACAUCCCCUGGACACUACCUUUCCCCAAUGACUGGAAUGUGAAGAUUUCUCUGUACUGGAGUUGAACUCUUAUUUAGCUUUGCAAUCUUGAUUUUAGAUUUGCUCGUUCUUUCAAUUACCCUACCAAGAUCCAGAUAAGCUUCCACAAAUAUAUUGUAGAUAGGAAAACACUUUGGCCACUGGCCAGUGAGGAUUACAAUUAUGUGAUGAGAGUAAUUUCGGAUCAUGAUGAGGUAAUCUCACUAGAUACCUGCUCUUGGAAGGUUCGCAAAGAAAUAAAAUUGUUGGCUACUCCUGUUUCCAUUUGUUCUUGACAUUGAAGUCAAACAACCAAGUGAUUAGUGUUCAAUAACUGUUAUAGCUAUAUUGUUGAUGCUGGUUACUCUCAAAAAAUAAAAUCCAUUCCCUACUGGCAAUGAAUAAGAGUAGUUAUUUAAGUGUGUGCUCAAUCGUUAGCUUGCUACUUUGACAAGUUUGUGGGAAGUGCCUCUGUCCGAAGCUCAUGAGGAUUAUAGUAACUGUUUGCACAUGAGCACUUGUUUCCAAUCUAGCUAUGCUAAGCUUUCAGGUUUUUCACAAGCACAUGGGCAAGUUGAAUCAGGAGCCUAAAUCAUCUGGCCACGAUCUGAGACACUUUUUCUCGAGUGAAGAAUCAGAAAGGGAGAAGCCUGAGACAAAUCGUACCUUUUGUUUCUCUUUGUAGCCACUUUCUCCCUGAUAAUGCUAUAAGGAAGAGAGAAUGGUUUUUUCACACCUAGUACUAUUUUCCUUGUAGCUUCAACCUUUAGCAGGUUUUGAUGAGUGGUACGAAAACAGGGCAAAAAACUUCAUUUGUUUUCUCGGUGUGGACAAUGUAUAUCCAGUGAAAUGAAAUUCAGUUCUUUGUAAUAGUAUCUUCAUAUCUGAACCUAUGCUUGGGUGUCACUUUUGGUUGCCUGUGCUAAAGCAUAGUUAAAUAAAGGCACUGCAAUGGUUCACUGCAGGAUCUUCCUGGUUGCCUUUUAAUACCCAAUUGGCAAUUUGAAGCAAUCAUUGUGGCCAUGUUGUUUUUCUUUUAUGAGGAAAACAAAUGAUGUGAUUUAUGUUUACACAGGGUUUUGCUAUAUGCACAGGCAGAUAGGCGACUCGGGCGACCUNNNNNNNNNNNNNNNNNNNNNNNNNNNNNNNNNNNNNNNNNNNNNNNNNNNNNNNNNNNNNNNNNNNNNNNNNNNNNNNNNNNNNNNNNNNNNNNNNNNNAACUUGAAAUUGAUUAAGGUGACAUAAUUGUGAGUCACGAUAAGACUUGAUGUCUUUGAAAAAACUAAAUGGGAGAUCAUUCGCGAUGUGCUCAUGGUAGCAUGUUUCUCUUAAGCGAAUAUUCAAGGUGAAUAUGUAUUCAUUCAUUGUGUACUUAGUUCGAGAACCAAGUGAAGUUGGUGACAUAUAAAAUGCAUAUGUGCAUCAAUAGAAUAGCCAUGUGUUACAUGAAAUGAUCAUGCAUUAUUUAAUUUACUUCUUGGAGUAAAAUAAACUAUAUGGAUGAAAUGAUCUUGUUGACCAAAAUCCGCCAAGGUGAUGCUUGGUGAACAUGGGGUGUAAACCUUCAAUAUAGUGCAUGCGAUGAAAUCAUUGCUAAUGUUUUGGACUUCAUUCUUGAGGAAGUGUGAGAUUUUAUUUCACUCCAAAAUGUAUAGACUUUGCAUGUUUAACAUUGGUUAGUAACUAUGAAAGUAUAACCACAUUUUGAUGUGGACCUUCCGGAAGUGUUGAUACACUCAAUCGUUGCCAUAAAUUAUGGUACCCGUCUUGAUGGACGAACGUCGCUGUAAUUAGAAAUAAUGACAUCGGCUUCAGUGCCAUGCAUUUUACCAAUGUAAUAAAAGGUAAUCGUUGGAGUAUGCAAAUAUUUGCAUAAUUUCUGAAGACCUAUUCAAGAAAAUUGAGGCUUGAAUAAUUCAUAUUGGCACAAAAAUACUAUUUCAGCCUGUAGUGACUAUGCAUGAAUGAUAUUUUACUAUGAGCGUAAUAUAUUUUAGUGAACAACAACAAUAAAUGCUUCAGAGGAGCAAAUUUUAGUACGGCUGAUGCCUUAUAGCCAUAUGUGUAGACCUCAAUUUAUAUAGGAUGACACUUUGAAGAUAAUCACCAAUAUGGUAUAGAUCUCUUAGUAAUAGAAAACAUAGUCUAACUUUUGUCAGUAGAUGUUUAUAAUUCUAUUACCUUAUGUUAUGCUAAAUCUGUAAAAUUACUUUAAAGGUAAUCAUCUGUCAAUGUGACAUGAUGUAGACCUUGCAGUAAUAGUGGAUAGUCUGCAAAUUAUGCAGUAGAUCGCACAAUUACCUUGUGAUUCGCAAAAAGUUGAGGUAGUCACAUCAAUUCACAUAUUCGGGAGAGCACUCGAAGAUAGUCAUUUUGCCAAAAGAAGGAGGCAAAUGUAGAUCUUUCAUCGAUGAGGAUAAUCUGCAAAGUGCAGUAGAUGCCUCAUCUACCUUGUGAUCCCAAAAUUUGAAUUGUAAAAAAAUGUUGUAUUUGAGAAUUACAUAUUCUAAAAAAAAUGCUGAGGCAAUCAUAUAGAAUAUGUACACAUAGUUCGAGAUUUUAUUUUAGACGAUACAUAGUCUAAAUAUUCAAACGUAUAAUACAAUAUUGAAUGAAUAUGAUAAAAAUAGGUUCUUAAUACAAUAAGAAAUCACAAUGAAAUAAAAGGAACAUGCUGCUGUGCAAUAUGGUAAUACUAUGGUUAUCUUUUGUUGAAAACACCACAACGCGCAUCCACUUUAUUGGAAUUCUUGGCUGCAGGCCUGUUUGGGUGAGGAACGUUAUGACUUGGGCUGGCCCAUGCAUCCACAAAGGAAAGGAUAAGGAGCGCACGGACGAGGGUUUCCCCACGUCGUUACACCCGUUCCCCACUCUCAGAUCGAUCUGGUGCACAACACCUCACCACGCCGGCCCUCCCCUACCCCAUGCCGUCGUCUUAAGGGAGGUGGCGUGAUCCCCUUGUCACCGCACCGCCCCCGCCGUUGUUGCUCGACCCGGGGGCGUCGGUGAGGGUGAGGGCCACCGGCGACCACGCGCCCCGGACGGCUGCGCGGAUCUGCGCCAUGGCCGCGGCGAACUACUGCAGGAUGCGGCGCACCACCGGUGGAGGCGUCGGGAGGAGGGGUGGCGUUGGAGGCGGUAGUGAUGUCGCCGGUGAUGGAGGAGGCGACGGCGUCGACGACGAGCCCUGGCCCUUCGUCUCCUCUUCUUCCACCUUGGUGGCGUUGUUCAGAUCGGGAGCGGCGGUGUAACCGCCAGUUUUCACUGCUGCCGGCGUCGGGGACAGGAGGUCCGGGACAGUGUAAGGAUGGAUUCGUUGCUCCGAUCGCUGGUUGUUGGCCGUUCGUCAUCGGGAGCCGCGAUGGGAGCGCGUCUGCAGCGGGUUCUGCCGAUCGGUCAAGACCAAGUGGUGCCACGUCGUUGGGCGCAACACGCCAUGGAGUGCUGCGCCGGGAGGAGCAGUGUCGGGACAAAGGUCGCCGCGUUGCAUCCCCGUCUCCGUCGUGCACCAUAGUCUCGCCGACGGCGAGCAUGGCCUCAUCGCUGCUUCUCUCUUGUCAUGUGGCCUAACGCUCUUGCAGAGGCGUGCUGAUAACAUGUGAAGAAUAAAAGAGAGAAGAAGAGCAAAUGAUGAAAAUCGCUCUCUCGUUGAUUGAAGAUGUGGGUAUAUAUACCCGAGUACAAAGGCGGUUACAAGGAGCAGUUGCUAAACUAAAGCAACCGACAUAGCAGGGAUUAUCCCUUAAUUAAUGUAUUUAUUAAUUAAUUCCUAACAGUUAGUAGAGUUUGAUCGUUCAAUAUGUUUCCCCGUUACUGUAUAUUAAUGGACGCAAGUCAAUGAGUACUCCCUGAUGAACCACUCCAAGGAUGUUACUUCUUCAGCAAGGGCCUGUGUUCUGCUGACUUUGCGAAAGAUGAUGAAGCGUCUCAACCCUUCAGAGGAGAGCCUGCGGGUUUAUAUUGAUAGAACGAGAGAACCGAGGAUUACAAUGUUCGAUUUGAGUAGAAACAGAAGAAGGGAUAUAAUCUCGAACUACUUUAAACUAUAACAAACUCUAUCUAUACCUCUAGCUAUCCUUGGCACACGAGCCAUGCUAAACCGAGAGAGGAGGAGGAGAUCAACCAUGACUGCUGUCACAUUAUGUUAUGUCCAAUACCCUCCCUUAAUUACAAUUGCGCUCCAAGUUGAGAUUACGUUUGAACUCUUCAAAGCCUCUAGCUAACAAUGCUUUUGUAAACCCAUCUGCAAGCUGAUCCUUGGAGGGGAUAAAUCUGAUUUCUAACUGCUUGUUUGCAACUCGUUCUCUCACAAAGUGAAAGUCUAUUUCAAUAUGCUUAGUCCUGGCAUGAAACAUGGGGUUAGCAGACAAGUAUGUAGCGCCUAGAUUAUCACACCAGAGACAAGGAGGCAAAGUUUGUUGAAUUCCAAGUUCCUUCAACAUAUACAUCAACCAAAUCACCUCAGCUGUUGCAUUUGCUAAUGCUUUAUAUUCUGAUUCUGUACUUGACCUUAAGACAGUUGCUUGUUUCUUGGCACACCAUGAAAUUAAGUUUGGCCCAUAGAAAAUUGCAAACCCAUCAGUGGAUCUUCUAUCAUCAAGACAACCGACCAAUCCACAUCGGAAAAGGCACUAAUACGAGUAGAUGAAGAUUUUCUAAAAGCUAAACCAAGACUGGUUGUAUUCUUCACAUACCUGAGAAUGCGCUUUGCUGCUGUCCAAUGUGCAGUGGUGGGUGCAUGCAAAAACCGGCAAACUUUGUUUACUGCAAAUGAUAUCUCAGGCCAAGUCAGAGUCAAAUACUGAAGAGCACCAACAAAACUCCAAUAACUGGUAUUAUCUUCCUGAUUCAAGAGUUCUCCUGGAGUCAGAGUCAAUGACACCGAGCUGGACAAAGGUGUAGGUGACGGCUUGUAAUCCUUCAUGCCAACUCUAUUUAACAAAUCAUUUGCAUAUUUUUCUUGGGAGAGAUUAAUACCAUCCUUUAUUUUCUUUACCUCAAUUCAUAAGAAGAAAUGCAACUCCCCUAGAUCCUUUAGAGCAAAUUUUGAACUUAAAUCCUUAAGCAAACCAGCAAUUGCAUCAUUAGAGGAACUAGUUACAAUGAUAGCAUCAACAUAUAUGAGAAUAAAUAUGGAUGUCUUGAACUUGUUAUAAAUAAACAAGGAUGUGUCAGAUUUUGAUGGCACAAACCCAAGCUGCUGCAUCUUUGCACUAAGGAGAGAGUACCAUGUUCUGGGAGCCUGUUUCAGUCCAUACAAGGCUUUAUCAAGCUUACAGACAUGAAAUGGUGAAUUCUUAUCCUCAAACCCAGAAGGUUGUUUCAUAUACACUUCCUCUUUCAGAACACCAUGAAGAAACACAUUAUUCACAUCUAGCUGGCGAAGACUCAAUCCCUUGGAAACGACAAUGGAUAAAACUAGACCAAUAGAAGCAGCUUUAACAACAUGGCUUAUCAGUUCUAUUCAACCCCAGCACCAGCUCACUUAACAGGCACUUGUUGAUAUAUCUAUCAUAUCAAUCCUAUUAAACCUUGUUGAUGUCUAGGACUUUGUUCAUGUUAAGAAUGUGAUGAAAUUUUAAAAAAAUAUUUCAAACUUCCGGUCAUAUUACGUAUCAUAUUUUGAACUAUUUUUACUAAAAAAAAAAUUCAAAACCAAUUUUUUUCUAUUACUAGUGGCGCACCUAGCAAAUGGUGCGCCAUUACUAAGUUUGAAUUUUUUUUCCAUUUUCCCCCUCUAGAUCUUAAAAGCCCCGUAUCUUUUAUUCUGUUAGGUUUUUGGGGAUUCUAAAAAUCUUCAACGGGUCCCCCCUGUUGAAUUCAGGUGUAACUUUUCAAGUAGAUGAUUUUUCAUAUAAAAAAUAUUUCAAACUUCCCAGUCAUAUUACGUAUCAUAUUUUUAWYAUUUWWWCAAAAAAAAAAAAUCGAAACCAAUUUUUUUAUCUGUUACUAGUGGCGCACCUAGCAAAUGGUGCGUCAUUACUAAGUUUGAAAUUUUUCCAUUUUUCCCUCUAAAUCUUAAAAGCCCCGUAUCUUUUAUUCUAUUAGGUUUUUGGGGAUUCUAAAAAUCUUCAACGGGGUUAAACCGAGAGAGGAGGAGGAGAUCAACCGUGACUGCUGUCACAUUAUGUUAUUUUCAAUAGACUCCAGCUCAUGGCUGUGCAUACAACAAAACCCUGUGUAUCUUGUCGAAUCUUGUGUCGUAAACAGAAAUCGCGGUUUUUUCCUAAGGAAAGAAAAACAACAUGCUAACGAGUGAUUGGUUCAGGUUGCCAAUUGGUUAUCAAAAGGCAACCAGGAAGCUUCUGCAGUGAACCAUUACCGUGUCUUUAUUUAUUUAUAUCCGGUUGCACAUGCAACUAAAAUUGAUACCCAAGCAUAGGUUCAGAUAUGAAGAUACUAUUGCAAAGAAUUGCAUUUCAUUUCCCUUAAUUUACAUGUCCACACCGAGAAAACAAAUGAAAUUUUUUGACCUGUUUUCAUACCACUCAUUGAAACCUGCUACAGGUUGAAGCUACAAGGAAAAAUAGUACUAGGUGUGAAAAAACCAUUCUCUCUUCCUUAUAGCAUUAUCAGGGACGAAGUGGCUACAAACAGAAACAAAAGUUACGGUUCAUCUCAGGCUUCUCCCUUUCUGAUUCUUCACUCGAGAAAAAGUCUCUCAGAUUGUGCCCAGAUGAUUUAGGCUCCUGAUUCAACCUACCCAUGUGCUUGUGAAAUACCUGAAAGCUUAGCAUAGCUAGAUUGCAAACAAGUGCUCAUGUGCAAACAGUUACUAUAAUCCUCAUUAGCUUCGGACAGAGACACUUCCCACAAACUUGUCAAAGUAGCAAGCUAACGAUUGAGCACACACUUAAAUAACUACUCUAAUCCAUUGCCAGUAGGGAAUGGAUUUCAUUUUUUGAGAGUAACCAGCAUCAACGAUAUAGCUAUAACAGUUACUGAACACUAAUCACUUGGUUGUUUGACUUCAAUGUCAAGAACAAAUGGAAACAGGAGUAGCCAACAAUUUUAUUCCUUUGUGAACCUUUCAAGAGCAGGUAUCUAGUGAGAUUACCUCAUCAUGAUCCGAAAUUACUCUCAUCACAUAAUUGUAAUCCUAACUAGCCAGUGCCAAAAGUGUUUUCCUAUCUACAAUAUAUUUGUGGAAGCUUAUCUGGAUCUUGGUAGGGGAAUUAAAAGAAUGAGCAAAUCUGAAAUCUAGAUUGUAAAGCUAAAUAAGAGUUCAACUCCAGUACAGAGAAGUCUUCACAUUCCAGUCAUUGGGGAAAGGUAGUGUCCAGGGGAUGUGGGAGGGAUGGACUCACGCCAAAGAAAUGAUUGAGAUGCCUAUGCAAUGCAAGGUGGUCUCAGGAUGCGACUCAUACUCCAGCUGUCAAUAUUGCAUAGGUAUAUAGUAGUUUGAUUAGCCAUUUUGCAUUCUGUACAUGAAUAUGGAAGGACUGCUGACUAUUUCUUCCUGCUUGUGGAUGAACCUUUAAUCUUUUGAAUGACCUCCCUCACUCUUUUUCUUUAUUACUUUUUUGACUUUUGUGAGAGAGGCAUAGAUAUUAACGAAUAUAGCUCUUCAUAAUGAUGAAAUUUGCAGGGUCAAUGACAACAAAGCGCUUUUGAGUCUUCUUUUAACUUGAUGAUUGUGCAUUUGUGCUUAUGGAAUAAUCAACUACUGUGGGAUAGUGAGAGAUGUGAUUAUAGGUAGGUGGUUAGGUAGGUAUGGUGUGAACACAUGGAAGAAAUGGUUUAUUUUCUGGGAUCUGUAUAUGUACACCAGCAGAGUUUCCUGAUGAAGGAAUGCAAUGACGAGUCUUGAAGAGGCUAGACAACAAAAGUUACGCAAAUGGAAUGACUGGAUUUCAAAGACUUCAGACUAGAGGAACAUCAAACUUAACAAUACGCACUAGAAAUUCAGAUUGCAAUAAUCAAAGGCUUACGAAAUAUGCUGUUUUUGGCAAUGGUGGGACAGAACAAAAUACUCGGGAUGAAGAAGAGAAUAAAAUCACCUUCACCAUACUAAAUUCAGGAGGUUCUAGGAAUAAAAAUUAGCAAGCUCAAGUCUUUUUUUGCUCAAUCAAUGUUCAUCAAUCACCUAGUAACAAGUGUUCUCUACCUUUACCACUAUAUGUAUCAGCUGAAAACUCUCUUGUGUAACUUAAUUCAGCAUGACAAUGCAUUCAGAGAUUAUGAGUGUGCUCAAAAGCUAGACUGCCAACUUAUCAAGAAAGCAGGAAGUUGUCUAACAUAGGUCUCAUGAGGCAAUAAGAGUUCGACAAUUGCACACUGAAUUCAAUCUACCAUAGCUAAACCCAUCACGAAUUUCAGCAGGGGUUUACUGACCUUUCCACAAAUCUGCUACUGCUGCAUUGUUCAAUUCCAAAGUUGUCCACGGACCACGUCUAUUCAGCAACCAAGAAGCUUAGUUCAGCCUAAAAAGUUCGGAACGUAAGACAAAUACACGAGUCCUUUUAGACUUUUGUAAGAGUGUGAAUAGACAAGGCAUACCAAUUAGUGAAAGCCCGAGAUCUCAAUGUGCUCCACGCAAGCACUCACAUGGUAAGAAAGGUAUUCUGGUAAAAUGUUCCUGUAAUUAACAAAAUUUCAUUUAGCAACAAAGCUUAUGACAAAUGCAGGUACACCUCCUAUCCUAUCAAUAUAGCAUCGAACUGAAGAAACUGCACACCUUAGUUUCAAUAGCAAAUCAGCAAAAUAUCAGUUAUUCCCMCAUUAUGAUCCUCACAGCUUAACAAGUACACCAGCAAGUUUUGGUGAAUGAUGACCAAUAUCUCGAAACCAACCAGAACAAGCAUAAGAAUAUCUGCACAACAAAUAAAAUUUUGAAUUCAUUAUAAAAUCGUUCAUGAAGGAAGAGAAGGAAAUUCUGAAUGGCAUCAGCUGAGGAUCAAGUUGAUUUUUUUUUUGAUAUUUCUCGGUUCAAAAAAAAAACAUCUAGGUAUCCGUAAUAUCGUUGAAGGAGUUGAGCAUGUACUUACCAGAUUUAUGUAUGAUGUGCAGUAAGAAGAUGCCACAAAAGAUCCCCAUGUGUGAACUUUGCAUAAACAGGGAGGACUCGACAAGGCUAAAAAAUGUACAACUCCUCAAAAGUCGCAAGAGAACCUGUAAAGUAGAUAGAAAAACAGUGUUAAGAUUUUGCAGUAAUGAGGUAAGCAGAUCCAAAAUAUGACUUCAUAUGCGAGAGCAUGAAAAAGCAAGGUAAUGUUGGGUAUUUGGAUGAGCAGACAGGGAAGUUUUUUUUUACCUUGGAUUGGUCUAGUGCUCUAGUAUGAUUUUCAGGAUAGUCCUGAUGAACUGUUGUCCUAGCUCCUCAAUGAUGCAACAUGGUGCUUAGUUGUCGCAAAUCAAUGCCGAAACAAACACUGAGAGCAUUGCUGCUGUACAAGCUAUCAAUGUUCCAUGGUAACAUUGUUUUCACCAUUCAAAUGGCCCUUUUUCAAAAUUGCACUGCUCUGAAACUGCUGCUCUCUGGAAAAUCCAUGCAGAUCCAGUGCUCCUCUGAAUUAAGACUGAAGAGAUUGUACGUACAAAUUUCAUGUUCAACCUUGCGUGACUGUCCGUCGACUUGAUGAAGAAAUGGGACUUCCUCUUCUCCCUUCACUUGUUUCCUUGACAAACACAAGGAAACCUGCAACAAAAAACAAAUGGUGAAUCUGAGGGAAAAAAGAACUAGUCCUGUGCUAUGCCAAACAGAAACAAGGCAGGUUUUGUGAAUAAUUAAAAUUUCGCAUUAUCUCUGGAGAGAUACAAAUAGAUACACUAUCCUUAGAUCAGGCUAACAAGGUUAAUUUUGCAUAGACGAAAGAAAAGAAGCUCACUUUUGUGUAUUUAACUAUUUAUUACCAUUAUGCUUAUGUAAAUUGGUUAGUACACCAAAUNNNNNNNNNNNNNNNNNNNNNNNNNNNNNNNNNNNNNNNNNNNNNNNNNNNNNNNNNNNNNNNNNNNNNNNNNNNNNNNNNNNNNNNNNNNNNNNNNNNNAUUCUACAAAAUUACCAAAUAGUAAAAAAAAGUUAUAGGUAAAAAAAAGAUUUUUUUCAAUAAAAUAAAAAUAAUAAUUUUAUUACUUAUUUUAUUAUCAAUAAAAAUUCAAUAUUAUUAUUACUUAGUUUGUUUAUUUUAAUGAUUAUUUGGAUUUCAAACAAUUUGUGACAUCAAGACCUAAGGGUUAAUAGGAUUGAUAGCUUACUAUUGUUAGCAAAACAACAAGUGGAGACUUGGAAGAUAGGGCGAUAGAACCAGGAAGUUAAGCGUGCUCAGGCUGUAGCAGGGCUACUACUAAAGUUUAGCUGUAGCGCGAUAGCAGUAGCGCUUGGCCCAACUAAGGCCCUUAGUAGUAGUAGCACUGCCCGUACCAGCGCUACUACUAAAGUUUAGCUGUAGCGCGAUAGCAGUAGCGCUUGGCCCAACUAAGGCCCUUCGGAGUGCUCCAUCUUGUACCGGUGCUAAGGAUGCCAUGUAGCCGAAAAAUCUGAUGUGUCACUAUAGUUAAGAGGAGAGAAAUGAGUUUGAUGACCCCAUAAAAAAACAAUGCCAAGCGUGGGAACCUAGGCACAAUUCUUAAAUGAAGGAAGCACGCGAAUGCAUGCACUAAUAUAGUUGCCAAAUCAUUUAAUAAAGUGAGCUUAGCUACAACAAGUUAAGCAUGUAUGCAUUGGAGGCUUUAGUUGCUAAAGUAUUUUAUGUGCUUAGCACCUCAUCUAAGCACUUGUGCAUUGGAACAAGCCUUAGGUAGAGAGAGGAAAGCAAUUAAAAGGGAGAGAGAGCAUUGUAGUGACUCAGGAAAAAGUGCCGCUAAACGCGUGAACCUAUGUAAAAUGAUUACCAAUCAAUGCAUGAAGAAGUUUAAUUAUUUAAUAAUUUUGUAAGGUAAGCUUAACAACAAAAGCUAAGAGCAUUUCCAGCCGUUUGGCCUCAGCGCACCCAACGAAGUGUGUUGGGCGUUUCUGUCGGCGCCUUUUUUGGCCUCGGGGGAUCAAGUUUCAAGCCACGCCCUCGGGUUUCGCCCCCUAACGCACAAAAAAUUCAAAGUUUUCUUUCCCGCUACAAAAAACAAACAAAUUAGGCGAUCAUCAUGCCACAGGUCGGCGAUCAUCAUGCCACAGGGUCAGUGAUCGAACAUAGCCAAAGUCCGGCGAUCAAAAGGGUAGGAACCAUAUAUGUAGAACUCAAAUGAAAGGAUCCUCCGCUGUAAGGCUAGGGGAGGUCGGCAUCGUCGUCGGCAUUGUGGGCACAACUUCAGUGCUCGGCGUCGUGGGCGUAGCGCUCGGCAUCGUCAAGCCCAGGGGCCUUGCCAUCGGCGUCCUCGGCUUCCUCUGCUUUGGCUGGGCGAAAUCGAUGGCUUGAUAAGGGGGCACAUACUUCUUCGGCGGCAUGACGGGCGGGUGUGGGCAGAAUGGCGGGAUUGGCGGGGGAGAAGAGCGUAGGUAAUGGGAAAAUGGAGGGAAAUGGGAAAACGGCGAGAAAAUUGGUCGGUAUCGCCGACAGAACGGGCCCACGUGCCUUUUCGCUUCAGCCAGUGCCCCUAGGAGACCCCCGGGGCAUUGGGUUCCGAUUGGGUUAGUCGGUUGUAAUUUCAGCCCAAACCGAUGAAAACCGAGGAUCUCGGGAUGCGACUGGGACUUUUUUCGGCACCGGUGCUACAAAAGGCGCCCUGGGUGGCUGUUGGGGUGCGGAUGGAGAUGCUCUAAGCACCCAAGUAUUGGGAAGACUAGUUGCUAAGAUUUUUAAUACAUUUAGCACCUUAUCUAAGCACUGAUGCAUUGGAAGAGGCAUCAAAUGCCCGCGAAUCACGACCGCGGAUUACGUCUAUGGGCACUGAUCGCUCAGUCUUAAAAUUUCGUCAUCCACAUCCGAAUACCUCAUACUAUAAAUCUUAAAUCCAUACAAAAGUAUGCAAACAUAAAAAUCCACGUACCACGUAGAUCAUCUAUCCUACUCCUCCUCGCAGAUGUCGAAUAUCUCCGUGCCCGGCUAUGGGUACAUGGGCGGUGAUACGUCUCCAACGUAUCGAUAAUUUAUGAAGUAUUCAUGCCAUGUUUGCCUAUGCUUACAAUACUUGUAUAUGGUUCUGUUGCACUUUAUAUGAUUUAUUUAGAACUAACCCGGACUGACGUUGUUUUUAACAGAACUACCGUGGUGUUGUUUUUUUGUGUAGAAAUAAAGGUUCUCGGAAUUCGACAAAACUUUUUGACUAUUUUUCUAGAAGAAAAGAGAAAUACUGGAGCAAAGAACCAUCAGAGAGGAGGCCCAGGCUGCCCACUAGGCACCAGGGCGCGCGAGCCCCCGUGGCGCACCCUGGUACCUAGUGGGUACCUCGUGGCCCAUCUUACAUGAUUCUAACGCCCACAAAUCCUAUAAAUAUAAAAACCUCCAGAAAUUACCCUAGACGAGAAGUUCCGCCACCGCAAGCCUCUGUAGCCACAAAAACCAAUGGGGAGCCCGUUCUGACACCCUGUCAGAGGGGGACAUCAUCUUCGGUGGCCAUCUUCAUCAUCCCGACGGAGGGCCUGACGAGGAGGGAGUUGUCCACCCUCGGGGCCGAGGGUCUGUACCAGUAGCUAUGUGUUUAAUCUCUCUCUCUCUCUCUCUCUCUCUCUCUCUCUCUCUCUCGUGUUCUUGAUAUGUCAUGGUAUUGAUAUAUCAUGGUCCUUGUUAAUAUAGUUGGAUCAUAUGGUGUUUGCCCCAUGCUAUUGUUGUGAUGAGUUGAAUCUUUAACUUUAAGAUCUCGUUAUGUUGGAUUGAAUAUUCAGGUUUGAGAGCACAUGAUAUAUGUCUUCCAUGCGGAUACCCGUAGUGACAUUGGGGUAUUCAAGUGAUUCACUUGAUAUAUAUUUUGGCACUCAACUCACGGAUACCCGAGGUGACAUUGGGAUAAUCUAUGCAUAGGGGUUGAUGCACGUUUUCAUACUAUGUUCUUCGAUAGAAAUCUUGGGGUGCUCCUUGAAGUUAUUUGUGUUGGAUUGAAUAUGAAGAACCUGAAAUUGUUGCAUGUCGUAUAAUUAGCCCACGGAUAUUUGAGGUGAAAUUGGAGUAUUUAGGUGACAUUAGAGUUGAUUGAUAUGCAUUGGUGUUAUUUUAGUACGAACUCUUGAAUAGAUCGAUCGGAAAGGAUAACUUUUUAUCUUAGUACGAACUCUUGGAAAGAUUGAUCGAUCGGAAAGGAUAACUUUUUAUCUUAGUACGAACUCUUGGAAAGAUUGAUCGGAAAGAAUAACUUUGAGGUGGUUUCGUACCCUACAAACAAGUUCUUCUUAUGUUCCCCACUAGGUAGGAAUUUUGGACUGAUUUUUUAUCUCACGUUGAGGGAUUGUUAUGUGAUCCAAUUAUAUUAGCAUUGUUGAGAGAUUUUACUAGCGAAAGUACGGACCCUAGGCCUCAUUUUCAAGCACUGCAAUAUCACUUGUGCUCACUUUUGUUACUUGCUACCUUGCUGGUUUUUAUUGUUCCUAUUACAAAAAUCAAUAUCUACUAUCAUUACUACACUUUUAUCACUAUUUCUUCACCGAACUAGUGCACCUAUAUAAUUUACAAUUGUAUUUGGUGUGUUGGGGACACAAGAGACUUUUUAUUAUUUGGUUGCAGGAUUGUUUGAGAGAGACCAUCUUCAUCCUACUCCUCCUACGGAUUGAUAAACCUUAGGUCAUCCACUUGAGGGAGAUUUGCUACUGUCAUACAAUACUCUGCGCUUGGAGGCCCAACAUGAGUCUACAAGAACAAGUUGUGUAGUAGACAUGAGGCGACAACUGCAACUCAUGCUCCGGCAGCUCCUCCGGCUUCUCUACAUCGUCCUCCGAUUCAAGUUCAGUGAAAAGAGCAUCGAUCACCGCCAGCUUCUGCCGAAUGAAGCGUCGGUUGGCCUCCAUAUAGGCAUCAUACUGGAUGGACUCCAGCUCCGCCAUCUCCUCCGCUUGAGCGACGAUGAACUCCGCCUGCACGUGCUCAAUGUUGAAGCCCGGAGCCGAUGCCACCUCCUGCUCNNNNNNNNNNNNNNNNNNNNNNNNNNNNNNNNNNNNNNNNNNNNNNNNNNNNNNNNNNNNNNNNNNNNNNNNNNNNNNNNNNNNNNNNNNNNNNNNNNNNUUUUAAAGAACGUUCGUCAAAUUUAAGAAAGGUUCAACGAUUUUGAUACAAAGUUCAGUGAUUUUGAAAAACGUUCAUCGAAUUUGAGAAGGGAUCAUCAAUUUUGAUAAAAAAGUUUAGCUGUUUUGAAAAUCGUUUAUUGAAUUURRAAAAAAAAGCUAAUCAAUUUUUWAAACAAAAAAUCAUCAAAUAUGAAAAAAAGUUCAUAAAAUUUAAAAGAUGUUCAUAAAAUUUGAAAGAAAAGUUCAUCGAAUAUGAAAAAAAGUUUUUCAAAAUUGAAAAAAGUUCAUCAAAAUUGAAAAAAAGUUCAUAGAAUUUGAAAAGAAGUUUCUUUGAUUUGAAGAAAAUUAAUUCAAGAAUUUGAAAGAAAAUCAUCGAGCGAGGAAGAAAAGAUGAAAAAGAAAAGAAUAAACAGAACGUAAAAUGCAAAAAAAGGAAAAAAAGAAAAAAAGAAGAAGGAAAGAGAAAAUAAGAAAAGAGGCAACGAGAUGCAAACUCACAUAUCAUAUCAAGGAAGGUGGUGUGGUGCCGCGGUGGUUACCCCAAUGUAGAUUGAUGGGUAUCUUGCUAAUUCGAUCCCCUGCGGCGGUGUCAUUUUUGUUUUACAAAGAAAGCGGAGAUGGGUCGGCCCAGCCGCCCCGUUGGAGGUAUCUAGGGUUUUACGUCGAUCCUAACAUCGAUAUUGAAGAGAAUGCGUGCAAUUUAUAGUUGAGAGGCAGUCGCGUCAACACACCAGGUGUCUUGAACACAUAACACUAAAAUACACGAUAUACCCAGCUUCAUGACCAAGUAAUGUGUUGCUCUUUUCUUUAUAUGUAGAAAAUAUAUAGGAAUAUAUAGGAUUACCAUGCAUAGAGAGGAACCCGACUAGUUCGAGGAAUCUCAAUGAGUUUAUGAUGAUGGUGGUGAUCUCGGCCAAGAACGUUGAAAAUAGCAUACACAUUAUGGGCUCUUUGUAAGGCAAGGGAUACGGUCCCCCUCUACGGUGCCCUUGUUGCCCCCUCCAUAACCAGACCUUUCAAAGCCGUCUCGAACGCCCAGAUAGCCUUACCAGUCAUAGAAAAGCGACCUAGACGGGCGCCCUAAAUGCGCCUCAAAUGGCCGGGCUGACCGUCACCCCUCAUAUUCAGCCCAAAUAUUAGUCGGAUAUGGGGGUGCUCGCGCGUCCGCUAUGACGGUCUGGUGGCAUGGACCCAUGGGUAAUCACCCGGAAAUCUGGCGGUACGACGGACGCCUCCUCAGGUGAGGUGCGUGACGCCGGUCCGGCUCAUCGUCCCAGGCAAAUUCGGCUAUUUUAGUUGACUAGCUCCCCCUGACCCUAUCCCACACACCUCCUUCCUAUCUGCGUCGCCAGCCCGAGCCCAUUCAUCUCCUCUCUCUCGCUCUGGUGCUCUUCCCACACUCUUCGGUGGUGCCAUGGUCCGAGCAAAGAUCACCACCUACACCAUGCUCAUGACGGAGCGCCGAUACCAAAUAAAGCAGAAGAUUUGGGCGAGGCACGCCGCUCGCAUUGCUUUCGGGCUGCCAUUGAACUUGUCGGAGACGGAGAAGAGAAGGAGGAGGCGCAGGCGAAGGAGGGGAGAGUAUAUGUUGCCCGCUCCGGUGAAGGAGGAGUAGGCGAACGGGAAGGAGGGAGAGGAGUUGCAGCCCGCUUCGAUGGAGGCAGAGCUGUCGGAGCAGGAGGUGGCANNNNNNNNNNNNNNNNNNNNNNNNNNNNNNNNNNNNNNNNNNNNNNNNNNNNNNNNNNNNNNNNNNNNNNNNNNNNNNNNNNNNNNNNNNNNNNNNNNNNAAAAUUUUAUUUGUUGUGCAGAUAUUCUUAUGCUUGUUCUGGUUGGUUUCGAGAUAUUGGUCAUCAUUCACCAAAACUUGCUGGUGUACUUGUUAAGCUGUGAGGAUCAUAAUGUGGGAAUAACUGAUAUUUUGCUGAUUUGCUAUUGAAACUAAGGUGUGCAGUUUCUUCAGUUCGAUGCUAUAUUGAUAGGAUAGGAGGUGUACCUGCAUUUUUCAUAAGCUUUGGUGCUAAAUGAAAUUUUGUUAAUUACAGGAACUUUUUACAAGAAUACCUUUCUUACCAUGUCAGUGCUUGCGUCGAGCAGAUUGAGAUCUCGGGCUUUCACUAAAUGGUAUGCCUUGUCUAUUCACACUCUUACAGAAGUAUAAAAGGACUCGUGUAUUUGUCUUACGUUCCGAACUUUUUAGGCUGAACUAAGCUUCUUGGUUGCUGAAUAGACGUGGUCCGUGGACAACUUUGGAAUUGAACAAUGCAGCAGUAGCAGAUUUGUGGAAAGGUCAGUAAACCCCUGCUGAAAUUCGUGAUGGGUUUAGCUAUGUAGAUUGAAUUCAGUGUGCAAUUUUCGAACUCUUAUUGCCACAUGAGACCUAUGUUAGAGAACUUCCUGCUUUCUUGAUAAGUUGGCAGUCUAGCUUUUGAGCACACUCAUAAUCUCUGAAUGCAUUGUCAUGCUGAAUUAAGUUACACAAGAGAGUUUUCAGCUGAUACAUAUAGUGGUAAAGGUAGAGAACACUUGUUACUAGAUGAUUGAUGAACAUUGAUUGAGCAAAAAAAGACUUGAGCUUGCUAAUUUUUAUUCCUAGAACCUCCUGAAUUUAGUAUGGUGAAGGUGAUUUUAUUCUCUUCUUCAUCCCGAGUAUUUUGUUCUGUCCCACCAUUGCCAAAAACAGCAUAUUUCGUAAGUCUUUGAUUAUUGCAAUCUGAAUUUCUAGUGCGUAUUGUUAAGUUUGAUGUUCCUCUAGUCUGAAGUCUUUGAAAUCCAGUCAUUCCAUUUGCGUAACUUUUGUUGUCUAGCCUCUUCAACACUCGUCAUUGCAUUCCUUCAUCAGGAAACUCUGCUGGUGUACAUAUACAGAUCCCAGAAAAUAAACCAUUUCUUCCAUGUGUUCACACCAUACCUACCUAACCACCUACCUAUAAUCACAUCUCUCACUAUCCCACAGUAGUUGGUUAUUCCAUAAGCACAAAUGCACAAUCAUCAAGUUAAAAGAAGACUCAAAAGCGCUUUGUUGUCAUUGACCCUGCAAAUUUCAUCAUUAUGAAGAGCUAUAUUCGUUAAUAUCUAUGCCUCUCUCACAAAAGUCAAAAAAGUAAUAAAGAAAAAGAGUGAGGGAGGUCAUUCAAAAGAUUAAAGGUUCAUCCACAAGCAGGAAGAAAUAGUCAGCAGUCCUUCCAUAUUCAUGUGCAGAAUGCAAAAUGGCUAAUCAAACUACUAUAUACCUAUGCAAUAUUGACAGCUGGAGUAUGAGUCGCAUCCUGAGACCACCUUGCAUUGCAUAGGCAUCUCAAUCAUUUCUUUGGCGUGAGUCCAUCCCUCCCACAUCCCCUGGACACUACCUUUCCCCAAUGACUGGAAUGUGAAGAUUUCUCUGUACUGGAGUUGAACUCUUAUUUAGCUUUGCAAUCUUGAUUUUAGAUUUGCUCGUUCUUUCAAUUACCCUACCAAGAUCCAGAUAAGCUUCCACAAAUAUAUUGUAGAUAGGAAAACACUUUGGCCACUGGCCAGUGAGGAUUACAAUUAUGUGAUGAGAGUAAUUUCGGAUCAUGAUGAGGUAAUCUCACUAGAUACCUGCUCUUGGAAGGUUCGCAAAGAAAUAAAAUUGUUGGCUACUCCUGUUUCCAUUUGUUCUUGACAUUGAAGUCAAACAACCAAGUGAUUAGUGUUCAAUAACUGUUAUAGCUAUAUUGUUGAUGCUGGUUACUCUCAAAAAAUAAAAUCCAUUCCCUACUGGCAAUGAAUAAGAGUAGUUAUUUAAGUGUGUGCUCAAUCGUUAGCUUGCUACUUUGACAAGUUUGUGGGAAGUGCCUCUGUCCGAAGCUCAUGAGGAUUAUAGUAACUGUUUGCACAUGAGCACUUGUUUCCAAUCUAGCUAUGCUAAGCUUUCAGGUUUUUCACAAGCACAUGGGCAAGUUGAAUCAGGAGCCUAAAUCAUCUGGCCACGAUCUGAGACACUUUUUCUCGAGUGAAGAAUCAGAAAGGGAGAAGCCUGAGACAAAUCGUACCUUUUGUUUCUCUUUGUAGCCACUUUCUCCCUGAUAAUGCUAUAAGGAAGAGAGAAUGGUUUUUUCACACCUAGUACUAUUUUCCUUGUAGCUUCAACCUUUAGCAGGUUUUGAUGAGUGGUACGAAAACAGGGCAAAAAACUUCAUUUGUUUUCUCGGUGUGGACAAUGUAUAUCCAGUGAAAUGAAAUUCAGUUCUUUGUAAUAGUAUCUUCAUAUCUGAACCUAUGCUUGGGUGUCACUUUUGGUUGCCUGUGCUAAAGCAUAGUUAAAUAAAGGCACUGCAAUGGUUCACUGCAGGAUCUUCCUGGUUGCCUUUUAAUACCCAAUUGGCAAUUUGAAGCAAUCAUUGUGGCCAUGUUGUUUUUCUUUUAUGAGGAAAACAAAUGAUGUGAUUUAUGUUUACACAGGGGUUUUGCUAUAUGCACAGGCAGAUAGGCGACUCGGGCGACCNNNNNNNNNNNNNNNNNNNNNNNNNNNNNNNNNNNNNNNNNNNNNNNNNNNNNNNNNNNNNNNNNNNNNNNNNNNNNNNNNNNNNNNNNNNNNNNNNNNNCAGGAGUGGAAAGGGGACUUGGGCCUUGGCAGGCCUCCUCUCUCCCUCAACUGACUUUUAAAAAAACAGAAACAACCACAAAGAAAGGUUUAACAAAAUAAAAAAAUGCCUUUGACUCCUUUAAAAAUAUACCCCAACUAUAAAAAUAGCUUGGGCAUCUUUUAACGAAUAAAAUUGAAACCUUUUGAAGAAUAAAACAAAACCCCUUCUAUAAAUAAAAUGAGUCUCUAGUUUUAAGAAUAAACAAAAGGAAAAAAAUAAAGGAAACCCAAGGGCUUGCCCCCCACAUUUAACAAAAAGACUUUUAAAAGAAGACGAAUCUUUUGAGGGGGUUAAAAUUAAAAUCAAUCGCAGCCACAAAAAUAGAAUAGAGAGGAGAGAAGGGUUUUACGUCCUCGGUGCAACAGGGUUUUGAAGUGGCUCUGUUGCACCCACUCUCAUCACUCCAACAAAACAACGCCACUCACAAGCAUUAACACCCAACAACACGGAGCAACAAGCAACACCGACAAAACACAGUUGACAUGAUGCCAUGCAUGAUGCCAUGAUGCGCAAGAUGAAUGCAACAAACAAAACAACCACACGACGGAAACGGAAAUAAAGGGGAAUCUUCUGGAACGUCGGCAUCGGGCUGUCACAACUCUCCUACAUUACAAGAGGAUCUUGCCCCGAGAUCCAAGAAUGAAAGGGGGGNNNNNNNNNNNNNNNNNNNNNNNNNNNNNNNNNNNNNNNNNNNNNNNNNNNNNNNNNNNNNNNNNNNNNNNNNNNNNNNNNNNNNNNNNNNNNNNNNNNNCUCCUCCCCGGUGCGCCUUGGUUAGCCCUCCAGGACCCCGGCCUCCUCCUGCCGAUGCCUUGCUGCCGUGCCUUGCUGCCAUGUUGCUUGUGCUGCUUGCGCUAGCCAUGUCGUGCCAUGCUUGUUGUUUGCCUGCAUGUCGCUGCUGCCGUUUGCUGCUACUGGCAGUUGUUUGGAGAUGCUCUUGCUGCUGUGGCCAGAUGCUGUUGCCAUGUGCCGCUGCCUAUGCCGAGCCCGAUGUGUGCCUGUCUCUGUUGCCUGCGCUUGCCGUUGUCGGCUGAUGCAUGUUGCUGAUGUGUUUGCCUGCUACGAGCUGCUGCUAUUGCUGUCGCCGAUGUGCUGUUGCUGCCUGCCUGCUUGCUAUGCUGUAGCUGCUGUUGUAGCUCGCCGCCGCUGCUUGCCGUAUUGCUAGUUGUUGCUUGCUUUGCUGCUAGCCGAGGCUAGAUGAUGCUAGCUUGCUUGUUGCCGGCUGCUGCUGUAGUAAGCUAGGUAGUUGAUAGUUGCUAGCUGCAGUUGUUGCUUGCUGCUGCUUGCCUGCGUAGCUAGUUGCUAGCUGUUUGCUGCUAGGCUAGUAGCUGCUGCCGAUGCCGAUGCUUGCUAAUAGAUGUUGCUUGCUUGUGAUGCCGCUUGCCGUCGCCGCUUCGACCAUCCCCGACGCUGUGGAAUCAACAAGUUCACUAGUAGCACGACGUCCCCGACGACCCCCGGACAUCUACGAAACCGUGUACGACUACCGACGCCGAAGACCCGUGUACCGACGCCAAGAGUACGACCACCGCCGACAAGACCGCCGUGCACGACUACUUCCACUACGACCACGACUUCCACUAUGACCACGACGAUCUUUGUUCUCCUUCACCGAACCGAACCGCUCCGAUAUGCACGCUUUGAAGGUAUACCGUUGGGACGUGUCGUGUACCGAAUGCAAAUGUUGUAUGAGAUAUAUCGUAUGUUUGCGCCGUAUGUUUGCCCGUUGCACGUUGCCUCUCUUUCGUCGCGCCUUCGACACAUGGGAACACGGUAGCGGGAUCACUCCAUCUUUAUCUAGCGUUCCCGCACACGCUUCCUAUACGUUGGCACGAUAUCUCGACGAGUUAUCGGGAUAGGAAUGUUGUCGUGGCAUCGUUUCCGUUUUGCCGCCAUAGUUCCCUCUCGCUCGCCGUGGCGACACUUGUUUCUUUCUCUUCUUGCCCGUGAUGUUUGAACUUUUGGAUGACGCAUUCAUGGCAUGAUACCUUGUGUUGCAUGUCUCUUGUACGUAGCUCCGUUCUAUGUUUUGCGUGUUAACCAACUAGGAUGACAGGUAGAAUCAUCGCUUCACCCCUUGCCAUGUUAACAACAUUAAAUAUUGCCAUGUAAAUUAACGGGAGUGAACUAAAUAUUUAAUCGUGGAGUUUCGUCGAUAUGCAACUCGUUGCAUAUCGAGCUUCACUUAAUGUGUAGUGUUUGCGUGAGGUGAAUUGCCAUGUCAUGCCUUGCAUCUUUGAACUAAUCAUGCAUCAUAGUAGAUUGUGCAUCAUGUUGUGCAUCGUGUGGUGAAUAUCUGUGUUGAUGUUUGUUUCCUGUUUGCUCCGUCUCGAUAGAGUUCCGCAAGCGUGUCGGAAUGUGAGGACCCGUUCGACUACGUUGGUUCGUCGACUUCACGGAUUUGUUCUUCUUCCAAGCGGGAUAUCAGGCAAGAUGACCAUUUCCCCAGAUACCAUUACUAUCAUUGCCAUGCUAGUUUUACCGUUUCUAUCGAUUAUGUCUCGUUGCCUACCACAUGUUAAAUAGCAGCCUCUCAACAAUUGCAUGAUAACCUUCACCCUGUUCGACCUAGCAAACCACUGAUUGGCUAUGUUACUGCUUGCUUAACCAUGGUGUUAGCAUUGCUAGAUGCAGGUGCCGUUGCUUCCAUGUGAUAACAUGGGUUCCUUGUUGUAUCACUAUGUUAAAUGCUAUUUAAUUUAAUGCACCUAUAUACUUGGUAAAAGGUGGAAGGCUCGGCCUUUCUAGCCUGCUGUUUUGUUCCACCUUUGCCCCUUAGUUUCGGCUACCGGUGUUAUGUUUCAUAUUUGAGCGCUCCUAACACGAUCGGGGUUGUUAUGGGGACCCCCUUGAUAAUUCGUUUUAGAUUAAAGCUGGUCUGGCAAGGCCCAACUUUGGUACUACAUUUGCCUAAUAACUAAUGAACUGCAUAGGGAGUAAUUAACCCGAGGAAAUUUAAUCAACCCCCGGGCCAGUGCUCCUCAUGAGUGUUAGUCCAAAAUGGACAGACUGCGGGGCCACCACGGGGCAACUCGAGGUUUGGUACCUGUAGGCUUUUCCAUCCGCCGUGUCCUGAGAACGAGAUACGUGCCUCCUAUCGGGAUCGUCGACACGUGGGCGGCCUUGUUGGAUUAGUUUUACCUUUGACGGAAUAUCUUGUGCAUCGGGAUCCCGGUGAUGCUUUGGGUAAUCUCAGAGUUGAGGUUUUCCACUAGGGAAUCCGAUGAGAUCGCGAGUUUUGUGAUUGAGGAUUUCUAUGCGGCUUGUGGUAAUUUGUGAUGGACUAGUUGGGGCACCCCUGUAGGGUUAAAUCUUUUCGGAAAGCCGUGCCCGCGGUUAUGUGGCAACGUGGAAACUUUGUUUAACACUGGUUUUAGCUUGUGGCGAGUGUAAGCCAAUUCUGUAUAUAUCUCUUCUUUUCAGUACAUGUACUUGUAACGAUAUCCAUUCUUGCGACACAACGAGAUGCGCUUCUAUCCCUGACAAGGCUCUCGUGCCAAAUUGAGGAUAUGGUCGCAUCUUGGGCGUGACACAACAUCCACGUCAACACCAUCACAACAGCGAGGCAGUUGAGUUGCGCUACACCCAGACACAUCAGCCUGCUAUCCGCCGUGACGUUCGGGUCGACCAGGGGGCGACGGAGCGGUGGCGUGGAUGGCAGCCGGCGGGCGGCAUGGGGGCGACGGAACGACGGCGUGAGGGCCGACAGCGCGACGGGGCGGCGUGGGGCUGUCUCUUAUANUCUAAGAAGGGACGUUAGAGAAGCUACAUUACCCUAACUUGCCUUCUUUCAAUCUAUAUGAUUAUGGCUAAAAUGAUUUAAAUUAGUUUGCAAAUUACAGAUCUACUAUGUACAUUUAUAGUAAUUACAUACAAACAAACUAAUGGUGAAAUAAAAUUAAUUUUAAAUUAUUUAUAUCUGCAGUAAAUAUCAACGGUAAAUAACAUACUAGUAGUCCCUAACUUUCCUUCUGCAUUUUACAUUAGGUUAGCACUGUAGCACGGUGACAUCCCCUAAAAAAAACACGAUGGAGGAAGGCGAAACAAGGCGGCCGGCCAUGGCUUCGCCGGAGUUCGUUGCCGGCGGCGGUAGGCGACUCACGCCUCCCCUCGCUCUCCGCGGAGCACGGCGACGGCACGGCGUCCGACCCGAGUCCGUAAGCGCAUCUUCUUCCAAACCCUUGUUUCUCCCUGGCUGGUCCGGUUGGGUCUAUGGAUCCGAUGCGCGUGCGCGGCGUCGGGAAGGGAGGAUCGAGGAGGGGGUCCUCCCCGAUUAGAGCCCCCUGGCUGGUGUUGUGAGUUCUAGUGUUCUCCUGCAACAUUUGGGAAGGUUUCGUCUUUAUACUAGUAUAUGAGUUUUGUCAGGCUUUUUUUUUAUGUAAAGGGGUUUCUAUGAAUGCGUGUUAAUCAUGCUGGCUGCUUGUUAAUUACGCUUGUUAUAAAGAGUAAUUAGAGUUGACAACACCGAAAUUGGUGCUCUGUUUCAAUUUCGAGGCCUCCUUCCUCACUUGCCUCAUUAUAUAGCCCUGUUUCUGAAUUUUUCUGUUUUAUAACAGACCAAAAGGACUUGAUGUGUUUUGAUUCAUUUGUCAGAAGUAACCUCGCGUGACAUGUUAUAUCAGUUUAUGACAUACACAGCCACUGGGUUCUGGUCUGAAUCGCUUGCUUGCACGGCAGAACCACCUACACCUAUGCUUGGUGUGAAAUCAACCCAUAUAUGCAUCCUGUGUCUAUGCUAUUCUGCCACCAGCACCAGUUGUAUUUAGGAUACAGCAGUUGGCACGAGAUCUGAAGCGGCGUUCUUGGUUUUGCCGUAGGUGCAGUGCAUUGAAGCCGCGAUUGCUGUAGUGAGCUCGUUCCGCCCAUUGCUUGGAGCGUUGGUUCAUCACGUGCUGCUGCUCACAUUCAAAUCUACCAACUCGUCCAUGGCUCCAUCCUUAACUGGGGCUCGGUCUUCUCGCACUCGAGUCAACCCCUCUGUAAUUGCACCAUCACCGCGAAGACCGCGAUACCACCGGCCGACCAGCUUGAGAUCUGAAGGACGAGCUUCGCGCCACCUGAUCUGAACGCUUGCCUGGCAACUACAUUAGUUUAGCUAAUCAGAUCCAUUGAGGGCAGCCACGCCUACUAUUUUUUUCAUAGUUUUAAAUAGCUGGCUAUAGCUUUUUCAGCAGGUGCCGUUAAAUGGUAUCAUGUACAAAUAGACCGCUAUAGCUGAUUUAGAGGCCCACCGCUAUGACCCGCUAUAGCUGAUUUAGAUGCCCGCCGCUAUUUGCCAUAAGACGCUAUUUAAAACAUUGAUUUUUUUACUUAGACAAACUUGAGUGACCACAUUAGUUUUGCCCAAGCCAAAUUCAGUAACACAAUCAGCGAUUCUUAAAAACAGAAGUAAUACAAGCAGCGGUUUCCAAUGGCCACAGGAAUCGACCAUGUCCACAAGAUGGGCAGGCAGGGCUGCGGCACAUGGGUUCAAUUAUUCGCAGUGUAGCCAGCUGGGAGUCUCCGUCUCCAAAACCCAGCAACCACAUUGCUUCCCAAUGGCACCUAAAAUUAUGAGAUCCAACACCAGAUCUGAAGCCAGGUCAAGAUUUUAAUUUCACGCCACCGAGCACUUAAUUAGUUGGCAGUGAUUCUUUUUGUUCGAUCCCAUCCGUGGGGUUGACUUAACAUUUUUUUACCAGUACGGUUGCAUUAUUCAAUAGGACUAUAUGGGAGUGACUUGACAUUUUGUUUACCAGUUUACUUGAAGGACGUAAUAUUUCAUAUUUCCAUGUCACCGUUCUAGUGCCAUGAUUGUAAGCCACAACUAUCUACCGGUAAACCAAGUUAGCUGGCAGGGUGAGACUAUGUCGGCAUAGUAUCCCUCCAAUCUCUACUUCCCAUGGUGGCAUCUUCGAUAGGGAGGUGGAUUUUCGUCCCUAGUUCUGUUCCUGGGCCUGGAUGGGGAUAUUCGGUGUUCCUGGCUGCCGUCUUUCCCUGUAUUCUGUGCUUUGCUUUAUUGAUGCAUGUUGUUUUCCAUUGCUUCCUUUUUGUUUCCACAAGGCAUUCUUCUGUUAGGUUCUACUAUUCAUCGGAAUAACGGAACAGAACACCGUUUGGUCUAAAAUCCAUGGUUUGAGCUUCCUGUUGUCUCCUGUUCGUUGUCUUGUACCUUCCUCUGAGAGUCAACUCUGCCAUUGCCAACCACGAGAUGAGUAAAGUAACCAGGCAGGGAAGGGAGACUCCAAAGUCUGGCGUCAUUGUUUAUAAUUCGCUGAUGCUAACCACGUUCAUUCACAUGCAUCAUCGCCGUGAAGAUAUGUGAGAUCUGAAGCUUACUUAGUCGCCUCACAAGAUGCUUAGAAGGCUUCGCUAAUUUAAGUCCCAUUAUUUCCGUUGUUGACAUUGCCGCACUUAUAGCUGCCGAUCAUCUCUCUGUAAUCUUAAGAGAAAAAUACUCGUAUCUGUACAUAUCAUCCCUCGUACUAUUUAUCACCAGCUCUACUUUUUUGAAUUAGUCCCAGUGGUGGUUUAAUCUCUUGAGAUUUCACUCACUGUCAAACUUUGGGUGUACAUCUACCAUUGCUUUUAGCAUCAAUUGACAAUGGGAGCAUAAACAUAGCAACUGGACUAAAGUAACACUAACACUUCGGCACUGCCCGUUGGAACUGGAAUGCUCACAUGCCUUCUCCGUUCAGACCGGGAAGGAAUCCCAGAAAAACAAGGCCUUACCACGAGAUGAGUGAAGUAAGCGGCUCAAGACUGAAUGGGGGACUUGGUGCAAGAUUUGAAGGUGAGUUUUCGUUUUCUAUUUCGCGGCACCGGGUUCUUAAUUAGCUGACAACUUUUGUAAUGUUAAGUUCCAUCCAUAUCCGCUGGGGACAUUGCACACUUGCAGCCGCUAGUCAACACUUCUAGUACUCACCAUCAACUCCCCUCACACAUCUGCCAUUGAUCCAUCCUUAGCUGUGCUUCCCAGCUCUAUCUUUUCUUUUUUCGAGAUGAACACCUGCUCUCUCAGAAUCUGUCCCAACUGGUGGUUUUACUCAGUCCAAACUCGGGUGUACACAUGCCAUCACCUUCAGCAACAAUUGACAACAGAAGCAUGACAGUAGUAAUUGAAUCAAAGUAAAGACUCACUUUGCUUUUGCUCUAGGCUGUCAUACAUGUAAAUGAAGUCCCAUAAAUAGUCGCACAAACCAUCAUCUACCGAGGAACAUCAUUGCUAAUACGUCGCCAGUACAAGGUUCCAUGUUGUUUAGCGAACUUGGCUGACGAACACGUCUUCUCCAGGCUACGCCAUGCAUGGGGCCAGUAAUGCAAGCAACUCAACAAAUUAACUUCCAGCGCUCCCUUUUUUUUGGAAAUAGCAGUACUCUGUUGUUGAUGCAUGUAGCAGCGCCAGCCAUGGGACCCUAGCCUGUGAUUAGUUACUUGGGCCCUGUUUGUUUCAGAAGUCCCGAGACUUUUUUUAGUCCCAACUUAAAAGUCCCUAGUCCCUACCGUUUGUUUUCAGGAACUAAAUAGGGACUAGAGGUCAUUAAAUGACAUGCAAAAAGACCAUGUUACCCUUAGUAAUGUAGUAGUAGUUAUUAAAUGACAUGCUAAAAGUAAGGGCAUUGUUGGAAAAAGUGCCAAAAAAGUCCAAAAAGACCCUCCCAUAGGAGCUUCUCCAAAUAGUCCCAAAUACCCCCUUUUAGUCCCUAAAAGUUCCUCCUGUUUGUUUCACAUGGGACUUUUUGGGAUUUUUUUUAGUCCCUACACCAAAAAGUUCCUGGAAACAAACACCCCCUUACUUCCCAUGAUCCCCAUUGGCACUAAAACCAGGAAACCCAACGCGAUCUGAACCCAAGUCUCGAUUUAAUUUCGCACCACCGAGUGAUUAGUUAAUUGGCAACGAUUAUUUUAGUUGAUCCCACUCAUCGAAAUGACUUGACUUGACUUGACUUGACGCACUCAUGUCCUUAUAUCUCCCCUCCUCCUGCAUGUAUCUCCCAUCCUACACAUCACACUGCAGUUUGCACAUCAAAACCCUCUCUGGCAUUGCUCCCUCCGUUGCAUCACAUCGCCUGCCUUCACGGCAAGGGAGUUCAUACUUCAUACCGGUGAGUAAAUUGUUCUUCCUAAUUACUCUAGCAGCAGCAUGUGAUAUAUCAGCAUAACUUGGGACUAACUGCUUGUGCUAAUGGUUUGCAGCGUGACAACCGAUGGACGUUGCCGUCAGUGCGGCAUGGUGGGUGGUAGGCAAGGCACUGGGCCCCGUCUCAGAUGGCUUCCUGGAGGCUUGGGCGGCUAGCAAGGAUCUCGGCCCCAACGUUGACACACUCAAGAUGGAGCUGUUGUACGUGCAAGGGAUGCUCAACAACACCCGUGGCAGGGAGAUCGACAACCCGGCCCUGAAUGAGCUACUGCAAAAGCUGAGGCAGCUAGCAUACGGGGCCGAGGAUGUCUUGGACGAGCUGGAUUACUUCCGCAUCCAGGACAGCCUUUACAGCACCAGUGAGGCUGCUGACGAGCAUGCCAAGGGUUGCGUAUGCAACCUCUUCCUCAACGCUCAUCACACCGCCAAAGCUGUUGGCAAACUGCUUGGGUGCUCUGCUAACCCUCGUGAUCCUGGGGAACCGAGAUUAGAGGAAGAUACAAGGCAGCAAGUUCGCUGCUGCACUUGGCCAUGUGCCCGGAGAACUGCAAGUGCCAAUACCUCUUUGGUACCAAACACAGACCAAGCUGAUGGGGAGGCCAGCGGAUGCAUUCACAAGCUUGCUCGCAACACCGUGCGUACUGUCGGUAAACUCUUCCCUUGCUCAUCCUUCCCACAGGUUGAUGAUGAUGUUUCUGGCAAGUCAAUCCUUUGCGGUGCCUGCAUACGCAAGGCACCACAGCAAAAGCAUGCGAAAGAUGCACCAAAAUUAGAGUUUGAUAGGGUGGAUCUGUCUAAAAGAAUGAAGCAUAUUGUUGAGCAACUGCAGCCCUUGUGUGCAAAGGUUAUAGCCAUUCUUAAUCUAGAGCUAUUGGGUUCUAGUCAUACUACCAUCACAGACAUUCCCAAGAGUCCUUCCACCAGCACCUCUAACAUUAUAGAAUCAACACUGUACGGGAGGGACCCUGCAAAGAAGAGAAUCAUAGAUAGUAUCACUCAUGAUAAAUAUAGUGGCGAGAACCUAACUAUCCUGCCGAUUGUUGGUCCGGGUGGCAUAGGGAAGACAACUCUUAUACAGCACAUAUAUAACAGCCAAGAAGUGAAAACACAUUUUCAGAUCAAGAUCUGGAUAUGUGUGUCCCAGAACUUCAUUGUUAAUAAGCUGAUUGAAGAGAUUGAAAAAGCUAUACCUAGUGUGGAAGGUGAAAAAAAGGGUAGAGCAGAAGAGCUGAUUGAACAAAGAUUAAAUUCCAAAAGCCUUUUGCUUAUAUUAGAUGAUAUAUGGAAGUGUGAAUCUGAUGACUGGAAACGGCUUUUAGCACCACUCACAAAAGGACAGGCAAAGGGUAACGUAAUCCUAGUUACAACUCGGUUUCCAGCUGUAGCAGAAAUGGUUAAAACAACUGAUAGUUCAAUAGAUCUGGAGGGUUUAGAACACGGAGAGUUUAGGAAAUUUUUCCGUGCAUGCAUAUUUGGUGAUGAGAAAUCACAAAACGAUCAUGAUGGGUUACUUAAGAUUGGAGAUAGGAUUGCAGAUAAGCUAAAGGGGUCCCCUCUUGCAGCAAAAACUGUAGGUAGAUUAUUGAGGAAUCACCUUGAUGUGCAUCAUUGGACAAGAGUCCUAGAAAGUAGAGAAUGGGAAAUGCAGACCGGUGAGGAUAACAUUAUGCCUGCACUGAAACUUAGCUAUGAUUAUCUACCUUAUCAUCUGCGGCAAUGUUUUUCUAGUUGUGGUCUGUUUCCUGAAGACUACAAGUUUCACAGUGAAGAACUCAUUCAUUUCUGGAUAGGACUAGAUAUUUUAAAUCCUGGUGGUCGAAAUAAAACAAUUGAAGAUGUAGGUCAGGACAAUCUAAAUGAUUUGGUGAACAGUGGAUUUUUCAAAAAAGAUGAAACCGAGGGGCAUUAUAUCAUCCAUGAUCUGUUGCAUGAUUUAGCUUUAAAAGUUGCAUCUCAUGAAUAUCUUAGUUUGGAUCACUGCAGUGUGAGAUCAAUAGAAAUUCGGCCAUCUAUCCGUCACUUGUCGAUCGUAAUAGAUGGUCCAGAUGAUAGUAAUGGGAUAACUGAUGACAAAUUUAAGAGUGAGUUAAGGAAACUUAAGGCAAAAUUGAAGGUUGAAAACUUGCAAACAUUAAUUAUAUUUGGAGAAGGAGACAAAAGUUCUGUCAACAUUUUGGGUGAUCUGUUCAUGGAAGCAAAUGCUCUCCGUGUUCUUUGUUUGCCCACAUUAUCAUACCCCUUGGAAUCCAUGUUGCAUAACUUUUCAUCACUUCUGCACCUACGAUACCUAAAGCUAGGUACUUCUAUGAGCCAUAUGCAUUUACCAACGACUUUAUCUAGAUGUUAUCAUUUGAAGAUUUUGGAUCUACAGAAAUGGGAUGGUUCUUUUGUGUUACCUAGAGACAUGAGUAACCUUGCAAAACUAUGCCAUUUUCUCGCCCAAAAUGAUAAGCUUCUUUCGGGUAUUUAUAACGUGGGGAAACUAAAACUCUUACAGGAGUUAAAGGCUUUUCCAGUCAAGAAGGAAAUCGAAGGGUUUGAACUCAAUCAACUAGAGCAUCUGACCGAGCUAAGGGAAGUUAGCAUUUAUAACCUUGAGAAGAUACACACGAAAGAAGAAGCGGUUCAAGCAAAACUAAUACAGAAAGACUACUUGCACAAAUUAACACUAGAUUGGGACAGGGAGCGACCUAAUAGUGAGCCUGGCGCGGAUGUAGUGGUUCUUGAGAGCCUUCAACCACAUAGAAAUCUUCAGGAGCUGAGAAUUACUGGACACCGUGGCCCUUCUUGUCCAACAUGGCUAGGUGAUAACCUUGUUGUUCAGACUCUACAAUCUCUCUCUCUUCUCAGUUUCUUGGGAUAUUUUUCCUUCAUUUGGGAAGAUGUGGAAUCUUCGUGAGCUAGUAUUGUUGAAUAUUUCCACAAUAAAGGAGUUUGGUCUAGUGCAAAGCUUUUGCAAGUUAGUAAAGAAGAUUACAUUGACCGGCUUAGAAAAUUUUGAAAAAUGGGCACCACAGCCCACUCAUUACUUCCCUCACUUGCAAGUACUGAUUAUCGUAGAUUGCCCUAAACUCUCAGAGUUGCCAUUUUCAAGCCACAUUGUUUACCCACUGAAACAAGACUGGAACAUAGAUUGGUUUCCCAAACUACAAGAGCUUACGAUGGAAAAUUGCCCUGAAGUCUUGCUGCUGCCUCCUAUCCCAUGGACCCAAUCUCUAUGCUCUGUCGAGAUACGUGACGUGGGAUCAAAAUUACUGGACAAGUUGGUGUACUCAAAAUCAUCUUCUGGGGUAGGGCUGGAAGUUAAUGCAAAGGAUGGUCUGCAUAGCUUAGAUCAGUUGUUACUAUUCAGUCAACUAGCCGAGCUUCAGGGGUUGAUGAUCAAAAAUUGCCCACCUUUGGAGCUGAAGUAUUUUCUAAUGCUAACCUCAUUGAAGACAUUGUGGGCAUGGUCUUCAAAUCUUGGGGUGGUGGCAUCAGAAGUUCAGACUUGUGUAGAAUGGCAGCAUCCUAUCGAGUCCAUUGAAAUUCGGACAUCUAGUUCUUGUGGAAAGGAAUUGACACAUUUCCUAUCUCACCUCCCAAAGCUAUUCAAACUGGAAGUAUAUCGUUGUGGAAACAUAACACAGUUGGCUGUGGGGGUGGAUUUGCAGCAAACAACAGUACCAGUAGUGUCAUCGUCAACCUCUUUAGAUGUUAUUACAAUGGAUGAUACACAAGUGAAAGAUGAGCAGCAAGAAAUAGCAGAGGUGGAGAAGGAGGAGGCAAACACGGUGGAUGAUGAUGGGCUGUUGCUCCUCCCUGCACAUCUCUCCAACUCUCUGCAGAC